GAUGAACGCUGGCGGCGUGCCUAAUACAUGCAAGUCGAGCGAACGGACGAGAAGCUUGCUUUUCUGAUGUUAGCGGCGGACGGGUGAGUAACACGUGGAUAACCUACCUAUAAGACUGGGAUAACUUCGGGAAACCGGAGCUAAUACCGGAUAAUAUUUUGAACCGCAUGGUUCAAAAAUGAAAGACGGUCUUGCUGUCACUUAUAGAUGGAUCCGCGCUGCAUUAGCUAGUUGGUAAGGUAACGGCUUACCAAGGCAACGAUGCAUAGCCGACCUGAGAGGGUGAUCGGCCACACUGGAACUGAGACACGGUCCAGACUCCUACGGGAGGCAGCAGUGGGAAUCUUCCGCAAUGGGCGAAAGCCUGACGGAGCAACGCCGCGUGAGUGAUGAAGGUCUUCGGAUCGUAAAACUCUGUUAUUAGGGAAGAACAUAUGUGUAAGUAACUGUGCACAUCUUGACGGUACCUAACCAGAAAGCCACGGCUAACUACGUG
This 496-nucleotide ribosomal RNA is filed under the name uncultured bacterium. Its description in RNAcentral is "partial 16S ribosomal RNA". It matches the Rfam family "Bacterial small subunit ribosomal RNA", at positions 28 to 507 of the family's 1533-position model. The record is from RNAcentral.